GGGUUGUGAGGUUAAGCGACUAAGCGUACACGGUGGAUGCCCUGGCAGUCAGAGGCGAUGAAGGGCGUGCUAAUCUGCGAUAAGCGCCGGUAAGGUGAUAUGAACCGUUAUAACCGGCGAUUUCCGAAUGGGGAAACCCAGUGUGACUCGUCACACUAUCAUUAACUGAAUCCAUAGGUUAAUGAGGCGAACCGGGGGAACUGAAACAUCUAAGUACCCCGAGGAAAAGAAAUCAACCGAGAUUCCCCCAGUAGCGGCGAGCGAACGGGGAGGAGCCCAGAGCCUGAAUCAGCAUGUGUGUUAGUGGAAGCGUCUGGAAAGGCGCGCGAUACAGGGUGACAGCCCCGUACACAAAAGCGCAUGUGUUGUGAGCUCGAUGAGUAGGGCGGGACACGUGGUAUCCUGUCUGAAUAUGGGGGGACCAUCCUCCAAGGCUAAAUACUCCUGACUGACCGAUAGUGAACCAGUACCGUGAGGGAAAGGCGAAAAGAACCCCGGCGAGGGGAGUGAAAAAGAACCUGAAACCGUGUACGUACAAGCAGUGGGAGCCCCACCACCAAAGCAUUCUCUGGUCUCCACAUACGCAUCCUUUGCUGAAGGUGCGGUUAACGGAGCGCAAGCGACGCCCAACACACAAAACAAGCGGUGAGUGCUUUGGGGUGGGGUGACUGCGUACCUUUUGUAUAAUGGGUCAGCGACUUAUAUUCUGUAGCAAGGUUAACCGUAUAGGGGAGCCGGAGGGAAA
RNAcentral lists this ribosomal RNA (745 nucleotides) under Salmonella enterica subsp. enterica serovar Kentucky. RNAcentral's name for it is "bacterial LSU rRNA". It matches the Rfam family "Bacterial large subunit ribosomal RNA", at positions 1 to 676 of the family's 2925-position model. The record is from RNAcentral. Lineage: Bacteria; Pseudomonadati; Pseudomonadota; Gammaproteobacteria; Enterobacterales; Enterobacteriaceae.